GACGAACGCUGGCGGCGUGCCUAAUACAUGCAAGUCGAGCGGACUUAAAAAGCUUGCUUUUUAAGUUAGCGGCGGACGGGUGAGUAACACGUGGGCAACCUGCCUGUAAGACUGGGAUAACUUCGGGAAACCGGAGCUAAUACCGGAUAAUCCUUUUCUACUCAUGUAGAAAAGCUGAAAGACGGUUUACGCUGUCACUUACAGAUGGGCCCGCGGCGCAUUAGCUAGUUGGUGAGGUAACGGCUCACCAAGGCGACGAUGCGUAGCCGACCUGAGAGGGUGAUCGGCCACACUGGGACUGAGACACGGCCCAGACUCCUACGGGAGGCAGCAGUAGGGAAUCUUCCGCAAUGGACGAAAGUCUGUCGGAGCAACGCCGCGUGAGUGAUGAAGGUUUUCGGAUCGUAAAACUCUGUUGUUAGGGAAGAACAAGUACGAGAGUAACUGCUCGUACCUUGACGGUACCUAACCAGAAAGCCACGGCUAACUACGUG
Molecule: ribosomal RNA, 494 nt
Filed under: uncultured bacterium
Lineage: Bacteria
Description: partial 16S ribosomal RNA
Rfam family: Bacterial small subunit ribosomal RNA
Source: RNAcentral